This 574-nucleotide ribosomal RNA is filed under the name uncultured euryarchaeote. Its description in RNAcentral is "bacterial SSU rRNA". It matches the Rfam family "Archaeal small subunit ribosomal RNA", at positions 26 to 606 of the family's 1478-position model. The record is from RNAcentral. Lineage: Archaea; Methanobacteriati; Methanobacteriota.
ACCGCUAUCGGUAUGCGACUAAGGCAUGCGAGUCGAGCAGGUGUAAGACCUCGGCAGACGGCUGAGUAACACGCGGAUAAUCUACCCUGGAGUGGGGGAUAAUCUCGGGAAACUGAGGAUAAUACCCCAUAGGUGUGGUAUGCUGGAAUGCUUCCACGCUCAAAGCCACGGCGCUCCAGGAUGAGUCUGCGGCCUAUCAGGCUGUAGUGGGUGUAACGGACCCACUAACCUACGACGGGUAGGGGCGUUGAGAGACGGAGCCCCCAGAUGGAUUCUGAGACACGAAUCCAGGCCCUACGGGGCGCAGCAGCUACGAAAACUGCCCAAUGUGGGAAACCACGAGGCGGGCAUACCGAGUGCCAACGCAUUGCGUUUGCUGUUCUUUCGCCUAAAAAGCGAGAGAAGUAAGGGCCGGGUAAGACGGGUGCCAGCCGCCGCGAUAAUACCCGCGGCCCGAGUGGUGCUCAUUAUUAUUGAGCUUAAAGCGUUCGUAGCCGGCCUCGUAAUCCUUGGGUAAAUCGNGCAGCUCAACUGUUCGAAUNCCGAGGAGACUGCGAGGCUCGGGACCGGGAGA